UACAGAGGAGCCAAGCGUUGUCCGGAUUGACUGGGCGUAAAGCGCACGCAGGCGGCACCGCGCGUGGGGUGUGAAAUCUGGCCGCUUGAACGGCCAGGCGCCAUCCCAUACGGCGGAGCUGGAGUGAUGCAGAGGUCGAUGGAAUUGCCGGUGUAGUGGUGAAAUGCGUAGAGAUCGUAAGGAAGACCGAGUGGCGAAGGCGAGUUUCUGGACAGUUACUGACGCUG
RNAcentral lists this ribosomal RNA (227 nucleotides) under uncultured bacterium. RNAcentral's name for it is "partial 16S ribosomal RNA". It matches the Rfam family "Bacterial small subunit ribosomal RNA", at positions 524 to 748 of the family's 1533-position model. The record is from RNAcentral.